GGGGCAUUAGCUCAGUUGGUAGAGCAACUGACUCUUAAUCAGUGGGUCGCGGGUUCAAAUCCCUCAUGCCCUA
This 73-nucleotide transfer RNA is filed under the name Candidatus Riflebacteria bacterium HGW-Riflebacteria-2. Its description in RNAcentral is "tRNA-Lys". It matches the Rfam family "tRNA". Rfam says of the family: Transfer RNA (tRNA) molecules are approximately 80 nucleotides in length. Their secondary structure includes four short double-helical elements and three loops (D, anti-codon, and T loops). Lineage: Bacteria; Candidatus Rifleibacteriota. RNAcentral also lists the same sequence under 2 other names. The record is from RNAcentral.